AGUGAACGCUGGCGGUAGGCCUAACACAUGCAAGUCGAACGGCAGCACAGUAAGAGCUUGCUCUUACGGGUGGCGAGUGGCGGACGGGUGAGGAAUACAUCGGAAUCUACUUUUUCGUGGGGGAUAACGUAGGGAAACUUACGCUAAUACCGCAUACGACCUACGGGUGAAAGCAGGGGAUCUUCGGACCUUGCGCGAUUGAAUGAGCCGAUGUCGGAUUAGCUAGUUGGCGGGGUAAAGGCCCACCAAGGCGACGAUCCGUAGCUGGUCUGAGAGGAUGAGCAGCCACACUGGCACUGAGACACGUUCCAGACUCCUACGGGAGGCAGCAGUGGGGAAUAUUGGACAAUGGGCGCAAGCCUGAUCCAGCCAUACCGCGUGGGUGAAGAAGGCCUUCGGGUUGUAAAGCCCUUUUGUUGGGAAAGAAAAGCAGCAGGUUAAUACCCCGCUGUUCUGACGGUACCCAAAGAAUAAGCACCGGCUAACUUCGUG
This 492-nucleotide ribosomal RNA is filed under the name uncultured bacterium. RNAcentral describes it as "partial 16S ribosomal RNA". It matches the Rfam family "Bacterial small subunit ribosomal RNA", at positions 29 to 507 of the family's 1533-position model. The record is from RNAcentral.